This is a small nuclear RNA of Suricata suricatta (meerkat), 107 nucleotides long. NCBI's taxonomy places the organism in Eukaryota, Metazoa, Chordata, Mammalia, Carnivora, Herpestidae. The record is from Ensembl.
AUGCUCCCUUCAGCUGCACCCACACUACAGUUAGAAACAUACAGAGAAGAUUAGCGUGGCCCCUGCUCAGAGAUGUCAUGCAAAAUUGUGAGGCAUUCUGUAAAAAA